RNAcentral lists this ribosomal RNA (489 nucleotides) under uncultured bacterium. RNAcentral describes it as "partial 16S ribosomal RNA". It matches the Rfam family "Bacterial small subunit ribosomal RNA", at positions 30 to 507 of the family's 1533-position model. The record is from RNAcentral.
UUGAACGCUGGCGGCAGGCCUAACCCAUGCAAGUCGAACGGUAACAGGAAGAAGCUUGCUUCUUUGCUGACGAGUGGCGGACGGGUGAGUAAUGUCUGGGAAACUGCCUGAUGGAGGGGGAUAACUACUGGAAACGGUAGCUAAUACCGCAUAACGUCGCAAGACCAAAGAGGGGGACCUUCGGGCCUCUUGCCAUCGGAUGUGCCCAGAUGGGAUUAGCUAGUAGGUGGGGUAACGGCUCACCUAGGCGACGAUCCCUAGCUGGUCUGAGAGGAUGACCAGCCACACUGGAACUGAGACACGGUCCAGACUCCUACGGGAGGCAGCAGUGGGGAAUAUUGCACAAUGGGCGCAAGCCUGAUGCAGCCAUGCCGCGUGUAUGAAGAAGGCCUUCGGGUUGUAAAGUACUUUCAGCGGGGAGGAAGGGAGUAAAGUUAAUACCUUUACUCAUUGACGUUACCCGCAGAAGAAGCACCGGCUAACUCCGUG